UCUUUAGUCAGGUGCAGGUUA
This 21-nucleotide non-coding RNA is filed under the name Arabidopsis thaliana (thale cress). The record is from RNAcentral. Lineage: Eukaryota; Viridiplantae; Streptophyta; Magnoliopsida; Brassicales; Brassicaceae.